RNAcentral lists this ribosomal RNA (402 nucleotides) under Triticum aestivum (bread wheat). RNAcentral describes it as "partial small subunit ribosomal RNA". Lineage: Eukaryota; Viridiplantae; Streptophyta; Magnoliopsida; Poales; Poaceae. The record is from RNAcentral.
AUGCAUUGGCUAUCUUGGGAGAAACUUGCAUCACCAAAGUGUCAGGAUGGAAUGGGCUUUCACGAUCUUCAAUUAUUCAACUUGGCACUACUUGGUAAGCAUGGAUGGAGGUUUAUUCCAAAUCCUAACUCUUUAUGUGCCCAAGUGAUGAAGGGGCGCUAUUUUCCGGAUUGUGAUUUCAUGGAGGCUUCAAUACUACAAACAUCAUCGGCUAUUUGGCGAGCAAUCAUCACCGGGAGGGAAUCUCUCCGUGUUGGUCUUCUUAAGAGGGUGGGGGACGGCAGUACUAUCUCAAUAUGGGAAGAUAAGUGGAUCCCGGGCCUCUCCUCCUUGUCCCCAACGAUGAUACCGGGAGGGACGACCCUUGUCUUACACUCCUUGUCGCACGAAUGGUGUCUGUAA